Molecule: long non-coding RNA, 502 nt
Filed under: Nicotiana benthamiana
Lineage: Eukaryota; Viridiplantae; Streptophyta; Magnoliopsida; Solanales; Solanaceae
Description: long non-coding RNA (NBEN_LNC011819)
Source: RNAcentral
UAGAAAAUAACUUACUUUCAAGCUGCAUGGUGACCAUAGAUUAACACAACUCACACAAAUUUCGGCUUACUGUUGUAUGAGUACAUAUAAAACUCAAAAGGAGUUAUUCGAUUGGAAUAAAUUAUGUUUGAAUUAGUUAUGAGGAGAUUAGUUAUGUUGAGAUUGGUUAUGUUACGAUUAGUUAUACUAAUGUUAUUUUUUAUUGAUUGUUUAGUAUAUUGUAUUACUCCUGAGAUUGUUAAUUUUAUUGCUUUAUUCCGGAAUAACUUAUCUCGUGAUUGCUAUUCCCCCUCUUGCUAGGUAUAAAUUUUCCUUGUGCUAUUUUUAAUCAUGGAAUAAUUUAUCUCAAAAUUAGUGAUAAGACGAUAUUAUAUUUUUAUCCCAAAAUUAUUUUUGCUUAUUAAACGUACCCAACGACUCCUUAGGGGUCGUUUGGUUGGAAUACAACUUAUGUUAGGAUAAGUUAUCAUAGUAUUAUUUUUUAUCCAUUGUUUGCUAUGUU